RNAcentral lists this ribosomal RNA (253 nucleotides) under uncultured bacterium. RNAcentral's name for it is "partial 16S ribosomal RNA". It matches the Rfam family "Bacterial small subunit ribosomal RNA", at positions 524 to 776 of the family's 1533-position model. The record is from RNAcentral.
UACAGAGGGGGCGAGCGUUGUUCGGAAUUACUGGGCGUAAAGGGCGCGUAGGCGGCCAACUAAGUCAGACGUGAAAUCCCUCGGCUCAACCGGGGAACUGCGUCUGAUACUGGAUGGCUUGAAUUCGGGAGAGGGAUGCGGAAUUCCAGGUGUAGCGGUGAAAUGCGUAGAUAUCAGGAGGAACACCGGUGGCGAAGGCGGCUACCUGGACAGAAACUGACGCUGAGGCGCGAAAGCUAGGGGAGCAAACAGG